CCCUAGUAACUGCGAGUGAAGCGGGAAAAGCUCAAAUUUAAAAUCUGGUGGUCUUUGAUCAUCCGAGUUGUAAUCUAGAGAAGUGUUAUCCGCGCUGGACCGUGUACAAGUCUCCUGGAAUGGAGCGUCAUAGAGGGUGAGAAUCCCGUCUUUGACACGGACUGCCAGGGCUUUGUGAUGCGCUCUCAAAGAGUCGAGUUGUUUGGGAAUGCAGCUCAAAAUGGGUGGUAAAUUCCAUCUAAAGCUAAAUAUUGGCGAGAGACCGAUAGCGAACAAGUACCGUGAGGGAAAGAUGAAAAGAACUUUGGAAAGAGAGUUAAACAGUACGUGAAAUUGCUGAAAGGGAAACGCUUGAAGUCAGUCGCGUUGGCCGGGGAUCAACCUUGCUUUUGCUGGGCGUACUUUCCGGUUGACGGGUCAGCAUCAAUUUUGACCGUUGGAUAAAGUUCAGGGGAAUGUGGCAUCUUCGGAUGUGUUAUAGCCUUUGUUCGCAUACAACGGUUGGGAUUGAGGAACUCAGCACGCCGCAAGGCCGGGUAUUUAUACUACGUUCGUGCUUAGGAUGCUGGCAUAAUGGCUUUAAUCGACCCGUCUUGAAACACGGACCAAGGAGUCUAACAUGCCUGCGAGUGUUUGGGUGGAAAACCCGAGCGCGUAAUGAAAGUGAAAGUUGAGAUCCCUGUCGUGGGGAGCAUCGACGCCCGGACCAGACCUUUUGUGACGGAUCCGCGGUAGAGCAUGUAUGUUGGGACCC
RNAcentral lists this ribosomal RNA (754 nucleotides) under Galerina marginata. Its description in RNAcentral is "eukaryotic LSU rRNA". It matches the Rfam family "Eukaryotic large subunit ribosomal RNA", at positions 78 to 817 of the family's 3401-position model. Lineage: Eukaryota; Fungi; Basidiomycota; Agaricomycetes; Agaricales; Galerinaceae. The record is from RNAcentral.